This 800-nucleotide ribosomal RNA is filed under the name uncultured bacterium. Its description in RNAcentral is "bacterial SSU rRNA". It matches the Rfam family "Bacterial small subunit ribosomal RNA", at positions 8 to 820 of the family's 1533-position model. The record is from RNAcentral.
AGAGUUUGAUCCUGGCUCAGGAUGAACGCUGGCGGCGUGCUUAACACAUGCAAGUCGAACGAUGAUCCCAGCUUGCUGGGGGAUUAGUGGCGAACGGGUGAGUAACACGUGAGUAACCUGCCCUUAACUCUGGGAUAAGCCUGGGAAACUGGGUCUAAUACCGGAUAUGACUCCUCAUCGCAUGGUGGGGGGUGGAAAGCUUUAUUGUGGUUUUGGAUGGACUCGCGGCCUAUCAGCUUGUUGGUGAGGUAAUGGCUCACCAAGGCGACGACGGGUAGCCGGCCUGAGAGGGUGACCGGCCACACUGGGACUGAGACACGGCCCAGACUCCUACGGGAGGCAGCAGUGGGGAAUAUUGCACAAUGGGCGAAAGCCUGAUGCAGCGACGCCGCGUGAGGGAUGACGGCCUUCGGGUUGUAAACCUCUUUCAGUAGGGAAGAAGCGAAAGUGACGGUACCUGCAGAAGAAGCGCCGGCUAACUACGUGCCAGCAGCCGCGGUAAUACGUAGGGCGCAAGCGUUAUCCGGAAUUAUUGGGCGUAAAGAGCUCGUAGGGCGGUUUGUCGCGUCUGCCGUGAAAGUCCGGGGCUCAACUCCGGAUCUGCGGUGGGUACGGGCAGACUAGAGUGAUGUAGGGGAGACUGGAAUUCCUGGUGUAGCGGUGAAAUGCGCAGAUAUCAGGAGGAACACCGAUGGCGAAGGCAGGUCUCUGGGCAUUAACUGACGCUGAGGAGCGAAAGCAUGGGGAGCGAACAGGAUUAGAUACCCUGGUAGCCCAUGCCGUAAACGUUGGGCACUAGG